AAUACUUUAAGAUUUACAAUAAAAAACAUUCUGACAGAGUCCAUGAUGAAUUAUUUCCAGUCUUUCACCAGACUGCUUAAGCUCACCUAUAAACUACGAAAUGUAUAAAUAAAUAAUUACAGCCAAAGCAGGUAACAAAGUGUCUAACCUAUAUUCCACAGGUGCAUACCAUGGCUACGAAUAAACUAUCCAAUCUAACCACAGAAGCUGAGCAUUUGGUUUGGGGUUAAUCCACAUCACAUGACUCACCAUUGAGAAAGCGGCUCUCACCAUGCUUAAUGGGCACAGCACCUCUGCAAACAAAUCCUUCCCUGGCUAAUCAUUCCCUCUGAGAGGUUUCCUCAGUAAAGAGAUUAGAACUAUCUCUUGUCAUUUCCAACUUUUAAAAAAUUGACCUUUUUGGAAAUCUACCACCACCAACUAAUUCUUGACAGACUUGUAGAGAAUGACCCUCAAAGAAAUAUCAUUCGAGACACAUAUUCAAGCAGACUGGCCAUGGUGGCUCAUGCCUGCAGUCCCAGCAGUUUGGGAGGCUGAGGUGAGCUGAGUGCUUGAAUCCAGGAGUCUUGAGACCAGCCUGGGUAACAUGGCAAAACCGUGUCCCUACAAAAAAAAUACAAAAAAUUAGCCAGGUAUGUUGGUGCACAACUGCGGUCCCAGCUAUGCAGAAAGAAGACAGUCUGGCUCCAGGAGGUCAAGGGUACAGUAAGCCAUGAUUGCACCACUACACUCCAGCCGGGGGUAACAGCGGGAGACCCUGUCUCGGCAAGGGAAGGGGAAGGGGAAGGGGAGGGACAUAUUCAAGUUUAGAUGAUGUGAUAGUAUAAAAGUGAUGUCCUGAAAAGCUCUUUUUUUAACAUGUCCAAUCCUAUUUUCUCACUAUCUUCAGGACAAAAUUAGGGGAAGAUUCUUCUCUAGUCCAUGUAUAUGUAUACGUACAUAUAAAAACUUAACUCUGCAAGUCUUUUUAACUUUUGGCUGGGCGCGGUGGCUCACACCUGUAAUCCCAACACCUUGGGGGGCCGAGGCGGGCAGAUCACCUGAGGUCAGGAGUUCAAGACCAGCCUGGCCAACAUGGUGGAAACCUGUCUCUAAUAAACAUACAAAAAUUAGGCCAGGCACGGUGGCUCACGUCUGUAAUCCCAGCACUUUGGGAGGCCGAGGCAGGUGGAUUAUCUUAGGUCAGGAGUUUGAGACCAGCCUGGCCAACAUGGUGAAACCCCGUCUCUACUAAAAAUACAAAAAUUAGCUGGGCGUGGUGGCAGGCGCCUGUAAUCCCAGCUACUCGGGAGGCUGAGGCAGGAAAAUUGCUUGAACACAGGAGGCGGGGGUUGCAGUGAGCCGAGAUUAUGCCAUUGCACUCCAGCCUGGGCGACAAGAGUGAAACUCCGUCUCAAAAACAAAACAAAACAAAACCAAAAAUUAGCCGGGCAUGGUGGCGGGUGCCUGUAAUCCUAGCUACUCGCUACUUGGGAGGCUGAGGCAGGAGAAUCACUUGAACGGGAGGCGGAGGUUGCAGUGAAGUGAGAUAGCGCCACUGCACUCCAGCCUGGGCAACAAGAGCAAAACUCCAUCUCAAAAAAAAAAAAAAUAAUAAUAAUAAUAAUUAAUUAAAUUAAAUUAAAAAUACGAUUAAUGCCUGUAAUCCCAGCACUUUGGGAGGCCAAGGUGGGCGGAUCACUUGAGCUCAGGAGUUCAAGAACAGCCUGGGCAACAUGGUAUAACACCAUCUCUACAAAAUAUUAGCUAGGCAUGGUACCAUGUGCCUGUGGUCCUAUUUACUCAGAAGGCUGAGGUGGAAGGAUCGCUUGAGCCCAGGAGCUGGAGUUGCAGUGAGUAGAGAUCGUACACUGCACCCCAGCCUGAGGGACAAGAGUGAAACUCCAUCUCAAAAAACAAAAAAACCCUAAUAAAAAGAUUGAGUGCCUAAUCUGCAAAAGACCACCACCAAAUAGUGACUGCCUACCCUCUCUUAAGGUCUCCAUGCAGUUCCCAUGCGUAACACUCACUACUUUUGGAGUUUCUAAUCAAGGAAAGGGUGCAGUUUGAAAUGGCAAUCCCAAUACCCUGAAAUUGUGAUCACAUCUCCUGAGGGACAAGGACCCCUCUGCCCGUGUGAGAACCAUCCCUUAUAUAAAGUGAUUCUUCACAGAAAUCCCUCAAGUCCUGCGCUGCUCUAAUGCAUGUAAGGUGUGGAGAGCACUAUUCACAGCACCAUUCCAGCUCCAAGGCCACCACUGAACUACCCACAUGACUCAAGCUCUUUCUGUCUCUAGCGCUUUACCAGCAAAACCAGCGCAACCUGUAUGCAUGGUAGCUCAGAGGGACACUGUGACAAUCAACAAAGAAUGGCAAAACAAAAAGCAGCUCAUCUAGGGAAGCAGUACUGCAUGUGGCUAAGAGCUGGGGUCACCAUGUCGUCACUAGGCCUCGGUCCUAUGGAGGCUACUACCUACACGCUUACAGCUUUAAAAGAGACUCUUAGCACACAGUGAGGCAAUGAUGUAUUUUUCUACCAAUAAUUUUAUUGAGAAGGGUAGAGAGGGGGACUGAUUCACUCCUAGCCUUCUACUGUUCAGGCUUUAAAACUAGCAAACCAGAGCCAAGGCUGAGAAAACCUAGGCAUCAUAAUCAUUACAGACUAGCAAAGGGACAAUUUAGCUUUCAACCCUAUGACUGCAAAAUAUGGUAAUGGGGAAGUCCAUUGGAGAACCCCCCCUCCCAAAAAAACAAGCAAGCUAAUCUUUGCAGGCUAGUAUCUCUUUCCCUAACCAGAAUAAAAUCAAAGAGCUGAGUGAAAGCAAAGGCCUGGCAGCAUGCAUUCAAAUAAUCCAAAACCCUGUCUUCUAAUCUUGAGCUCACAAUCUGACGUGUCUCCAAAAUCCUUUUUGAAUAAACAAUCACUCUUUAAAGUACAGCAAACACUCAAAUGCAUUGUAUAGAGAAUCUGAUUUAAAUAAAACAAUUCAAACGGCUGUUUACUGAGUGGUUACCAAGGUAGUAUCAUGAAAGCAGCAAGCUGCCUGGGAGUCAGGAGGGCCUCCCCUGGAGUCUUUAGGUCAGGUUCCUGAACCUGGGUUUAAGUGUUUAAAACGAAAGUUUUCUUGAUUGUCAAAUGGAGUCAACUCUAACAGUACCUCCUCAGGAAUCUACCCUAAAUAUAUAUUUUUAUUUUUAUAAAUAACCAAUCCAUCUGUUUCUUAUUCACCCACAAAAUUACUCAGGAAGGGGCCAGGUGUGGUAGCUCACGCCUAUAAUCCCAGCACUUUGGGAGGCCAAGACGGGCGGAUAACGACGUCAGGAGAUCGAGACCAUCCUGGCUAACAGAGUGAAACCCCAUCUCUACUAAAAAAAAAUAUUAAAAAAAUUAGCCAGGCAUGGUGGCGGGCGCCUGUAGUCCCAGCUACUCGUGAGGCUGAGGCAGGAGAAUGGCGUGAACCCGGGAAGCGGUUCACGGAGCUUGCAGUGAGCUGAGAUCGCGCCACUGCACUCCAGCCUGGGCAACAGAGCGAGACUCCAUCUCAAAAAAAAAAAAAAAUUACUCAGGAAGGGGAGCAGGUUAAGUCAUUUAUUUUAUAUAUGAUACUACAUUUAAAAAAAUUUUAAAAACCUAUACAUUCCCCUAAAAUGAACUUUUUUUUCCCUGACUAUACCCUAACUCUGAAUCUUUGCUGACUUUAAUUGGAACAGACUUCUCAUCAAAAUUAAGCAAAUCCUAUUCUCACACCCAGGAGAGAAGUAACUGCAAAACAAGAUUUCCAACCUGGGUUCCCAGAUCAAGCUUGCUAGCUCACUGCAUUUGUGGUCUACUGCACACUCCACUCCUGGUAGAGAAAGAAUUCCAAAGAACCAAGUUUCUAUUUUUCUCCUGUCUCUCAAAGGCUUUCAAGAUAAAAAUCCAAAUUCACUGCCCAUCAGCUGGCUGCCAGUGCUCCAACCUUAAAACUCUAUAGCAACUUCAGUGUUCUUGUUUGUUUGUUUGUUUGAAGAAGGAGUAUCGCUCUGUCGCCCAGGCUGGAGUGCAGUGGCCCAAUCUCGGCUCACUGCAAGCUCUGCCUCCCAGGUUCACGCCAUUCUCCUGCCUCAGCCUCCCCAGUGGCUGAGACUACAGGAGCCCGGCACCACGCCCGGCUAAUUUUUUGUAUUUUUAGUAGAGACGGGGUUUCACCGUGUUAGCCAGGAUGGUCUCUAUCUCCUGACCUCGUGAUCUGCCCGCCUCGGCCUCCCAAAGUGCUGAGAUUACAGGCGUGAGCCGCCGGGCCCAGCCUGUUUUGUUUUUUCUUUUUUUUGGUAGAGACAGGGUUUCACCAUGUUGCCCAGGCUGGUCUUGAACUCCUGAGCUCAAAUAGUCCUCUCACCUCAGCCUCCCAAAGUGCUGGGAUUACAGGUGUGAGCCACUACACCCAGCACAACUUCAGUUCUCGAUAAAGCAUACACUCAAAUCUCUGCUCUUUGGAUACUCUCUUCCCUGCCCCUCCCCAACCAUCUUCUUCUCCUCCACUUCCACACGUCUUCCUGUCAUGGAGGAACAGGUCCCUGCCCCCAGCAGGUGGCGGAGGUCACCUCCUCCAUUCUUUCUACCAAGCAACUCCACUAACUUCUAUCACAGCAUAAUUACCUUAUGUUAUGGUAAUUACAUAACAUACAUAACAUACAAAUAUGUUAAUGGCCUCUCCACUCUGCAUGGAGUGCAAAAGUAUAGGCUUCUAAAGAGAUUUCCUUAAGACUUGUAAUGAAAAAAAAAAAAAAAAGUUUUCCACAGGCCCUAUCAAAAAUAUCCAAGUGUUGCCAGCUUCCUAAACUAUCCUCUAUGAAGCUAGUACUAGACUUUGAGACUUUGAGCCUCUUUCUCACAACGGCUAUUUUAUUCUACAAUUUUCAGGUUCCAACAGUCCACAUGUAUUUGUAAAAUGACUCAGUCACAAAAUGACUAUUUGAAAAUGGACAGGGGAAAAGGGAAAAUUUGUAAUCUAUUAAUUUACCCUAUCAUCUAGCAAGGUUCUACCAGCACUCCUUCCUGCAUACGGUAAAUAAAUUUAUCUUAAAGCCCUCCAAAUACCACCCUCAGAAAUCCUACCAGCUUCCGUAGAUAGACGCUGAAAAAGUCAAAAUUAACACAUUCCUUCCCAGAGUUUUCAAUAGUAAAAUGCUGGGAAUAGAGGAAGUUUUUCUCAUUUCUAAGGGCCAGUAACCAUGGUAUUUUAUUUCUCCCUACUUAAGGAGGGAAAGAAUCUGGAAUUUUCUCCGGAUUUAUUAUCUACCAAUAUAGCUAGCACUUAGGGAACGUUCUUAACCUAAGCGCUCAACUAGGCAGGGCGCAGUAGCUCAUGCCUGUAACUUCAGCACUUUGGAAGGCCUAGGCAGGAGGAUGGCUUGAACCCAGGAGUUUCAGACCAGCCUGGGCAACACCCGGAGACCUCCUCUCUUCAAAAAAUUAGCCGGGCAUGGUGGUGCCGCGCCUGUGAUCCCAGCUACUCAGGAGGCUGAGAUGGAAGGAUCGAUUGAGCCCAGGAGUUCGAGGCUGCAGUGAUCUGUGAUCGUGCCACUGCAUCCCAGCUUGGGUAACAGAGGGAGACCCUGUCUCAAAGAAAAAAAUUAAAUAUAUAAGUGCUCAACCGCAUUCACUUUUAAUCUCCAUAAACUAAGCUUCACACAUUACAAUAUGAGGAAGGCAAAGUCACAGACAGAAAGGAAAGAAAACGGAGGGAGUUAGUAUUUAAUAGCUACACUUUCUGUUUCCGAUGAUGAAAAAGUUCUGGACAUGAAGCAGUGACGGUUACAGCACACUGAGUCAGUAUACUCAAUGCCACUGAAUUAUACGCUUAAAAAAUGGUUAAAAUGGCAAAGUCUACGUUAUGUCUAUUUUACCACAAUGAAAUAAAUGUCUGGGAAAUUCAAUGUGUACCCAGGCUUCCCCUUCCUUCCCGGCCGCUGAUCUUGGAGCCAAAACCUCUCUGUCUCUCUUAAGUGUCUGUAAUCAGAAUGAAUGAGUUUCACCGGGGCACAAGUCGAUGCUUCCUCCUUUAAAGAAACUUUUAAAAGCCAAGGAGUCAAAGAGCCCCAAGCAGGACUCGAAAAGCUGAUGAAGUCUGGAAGUAAAUGAACCCGCCUCCUGACAGAACAGCUUCCCCGAAACACGGGAAAAAGGGGAUUCCUCCCCCGACUUCGUAUCUGUCUGCUUCCGAGGGUGAACGCUAAGCAGCAGAUCCCAUCUCUCCACUAAUACCUGCGGCGCACCCGGGGAGGAGGAGCGGGAAACGGCGAGGGACUUGAGCCAGGGCCAGAGCGUGGGGCGAG
RNAcentral lists this long non-coding RNA (6297 nucleotides) under Homo sapiens (human). RNAcentral's name for it is "HSALNT0396009". Lineage: Eukaryota; Metazoa; Chordata; Mammalia; Primates; Hominidae. The record is from RNAcentral.